GCCUGGCUGGCUCCGUUGGUAGAGCAUGUGACUCUUAAUCUCAGGGUGGUGAGUUCAAGCCCCAUGUUGGGCA
RNAcentral lists this transfer RNA (73 nucleotides) under Felis catus (domestic cat). It matches the Rfam family "tRNA". From Rfam's summary of the family: Transfer RNA (tRNA) molecules are approximately 80 nucleotides in length. Lineage: Eukaryota; Metazoa; Chordata; Mammalia; Carnivora; Felidae. The record is from Rfam by way of RNAcentral.